Non-coding RNA from Cinara cedri, 219 nucleotides. NCBI's taxonomy places the organism in Eukaryota, Metazoa, Arthropoda, Insecta, Hemiptera, Aphididae. The record is from the annotation of a GenBank genome assembly.
AAUGGUAUCUCCCUAAAAAAAUAAUCAAUGUGUAUUGUGUAUAUAUAUAUUAUACAAAUAGCAGGCUUCGCGUAUUAUAUGAAUUGGUGUGCCGCAUUGUUUAAAAUUAUUGAAAACCACUGGUAUACAGGGCGAUUUUUGUUUAUCAUGAACCAGCAAUUAUCUCAGAGGAUUUUAAGUGAAUUUGAUUUCUGUUUUUUUCUAAUCAUUAUGGAAUCG